AUGGAAGCACUCCAGUGCAAUACAGACGAGCAUAUAUGCAUCUGAAUCCAAUACAGCCUUCAUUACUUGCAUGGUGUUGGCACCUUUUUGGGGCGCCAAUCACUCAACAAGAACCCAGCGGCGGUGCUCUCUGGUCAGGCGCGGACGGUCCGCGGCACAGGGCCGGACGGUCCGCGACCUGACGCAGGGCUAGGGUUCCCUGCCUGAUGGCCGGACGGUCCGCGCCCUAGGGCCGGACGGUCCGCGACCUGGUGACAGGGUCGUCUUCCUUCUCCUUGCUAGAAUCUAGAUCUCGUCCCCUGGGGGGAAAAGAUCUUAAGGUGCUCUGGGUCGACAGGUCACCCGGGGCGCCGAGACGACGUGGAGCCGCCUAGGAAUUAAGAGAUCAAUUCGAGGAAGAGGUCUUGGAUGGACAACUAGAUCUUGCCCCCCGGGAGGGGUGAGAUCCUAGGGUUGUCUUGGGAUCGGCAGACCACCCAAGACGGAUCUAGACGACGUAGAGUCGAAUAGGGAUGGAGGGUGGAUAUGUGGAAGACUACAACUAGAACUAUGCUACAUCUACUCCUAGGGCAGGAAAAGUAAAUAAGGUAAUUGGUUCGAUUGGAAUGUGUUCGGGGGUUCUCAAUCGGCCGUACCCCUUUAUAUUUAUAGGGGAGGAGGUAUGGACCUUUUCCUAAGAGAUAGCCAACAAACUCCCACGUGAUUAGAUGGAUAACCACGCACGAGAUAAGGAUAAACAUCCGAGUUAAUCUAAUCUCGGGACACGCGGACCGUCCGGGCCUAAGGGUCGGACCGUCCGCUCGUUUUGGUGUCCAACAUAUGCCCCCUGCCUUUUGGUGGAGCUUGGCAAACCAAAAGCAUCAGCGAAAACUUCGAAAACAAUUGACCUCAUGAGCUUUUGUUCCCAAAGUAAGGACUCAGCUCGAUGCAAGUCAUCGGCUCUUGCGAUCAGAUAAUAUAAAUACUUGAUGGAACUUUAAUGCACAGAGGCCGUUUUAGAUCACAUCCUCUUCGGCCAUGUCUACCUGAUCAACCUGUAAUAGGCAAAAACUUGUGUUGCCCCCCAGCCCAAAUAAGCAAACGGAUUGGGCCAGUAAUACGAAUUCAUCGCCGUACCACCCCACACAUGAGCAGGACAACACAUCGGCGAUGGAUAGAACGGGUCGCACCAUGCUAUCCCCGAAGGAGGAUGACAAGGCGAUCUUGGUUGAGCUACCCUUUGGGUCCGUUUAGUCGGCUUUUGCUUUCGCACAGGUCGCCCUUUUGACUUCGUUUGUUUUAUUGGCCAGUUGUGUGGAACGGCCUUCUUCAUAUAUUUGGCAAGCAACUGACCAAAAGUAGGGCCGACUCUACUGAGUCGUCCAGACGUCUUAGUAGUGUUUUGUUUCCUAACACUUGUGUUGGAACGUUGUGGUCCGAUGAUCUGAGGUUGCUGCUUCUGACCAUCUGCGAACCGUCCGGCCAUCAUAGCCGGACUGUCCGCGCCUGUCUCGGACUGUUCGGCCUUAGUACCUGGAUCAUCCGGCGUACGCAGGACAGGUGAUCGUGAUUGGGUGUCCGAUCGUGCUUGCCCCUCGGUGCCUCCGGUCUUUCUUUUGUCCGGAGCCUUCAGAGUAACCAUUCUACGUGACAUAUUUGGUGUGCGAGGAUCACCAAUGACGAUAUUUUUAUUUUUACUUUUAUCGGCCGCACAAGGCCGAAUUAUGGCAUUUUUGCUCGUUGGCUGUAAUGUGGUGACAGGAACAGGUGGCCUGUCACUUUUCACCUCUUUUUGAAACCUCAACCGGCCUUCGUUUAUAGCCGAUUGUAUUUGCCGGUGGAAGACGGCACAAUCAUUGGUGUUAUGGAGAAAGGAGCCAUGCCAUUUGCAAUAAACGCGCCCUUUUAAUUGUUCAACCGGAGGAAUUACAUGUGACAAUUUAAUAUUAUCAUGUUUAAGCAACUCAUCAAAUAUUUUAUCACAUUUAGUAAUAUUGAAUGUGAACUUAACUUUUUCCUUUUGUGUCGAGUGUGGGUGAGAGCGAACAGAAGGUUUGGCCUCAGUGGGCCAAACAAGCUCAGGGACAUGUGACUUUUUUGGUUCUUGGGGCUUGGGUGGCCGGUUAUAUUUAUGUCGGCCUUCCGCACUAGGCAGAUCACAGGUGACUUCUGGUGCUCCGGACGGUCCGACCUGCACAGUCGGACGGUCUGCGGGUGGAUCGGACGGUCUGGUACUAUCCUCGGACUGUCCGGUCACGUCAGGCAACACCUGUGACCCUUGUGGUGGGUGAAAGUCGCCUAGAGGGGGGUGAAUAGGGCGAAACUGAAAUUCUCAAAAAUAAUCACAACUACAAGCCGGGUUAGCGUUAGAAAUAUAAUCGAGUCCGCGAAAGAGGGUGCAAAACAAAUCACAAUCAAAUAAAGAGUGUGACACGCGGAUUUGUUUUACCGAGGUUCGGUUCUCGCAAACCUACUCCCCGUUGAGGAGGCCACAAAGGCCGGGUCUUUUUCAACCCUUUCCCUCUCUCAAACGAUCCCACGGAUCGAGUGAGCUUUCUCUUCUCAAUCACUUGGAACACAAAGUUCCCACAAGGACCACCACAAGAUUGGUGUCUCUUGCCUCAAUUACAAGUGAGUUUUGGUCGCAAGAAAGAAUCAAGAAAGAAGAAAGCAAUCCAAGCGCAAGAGCUCGAAAGAACACAAGCAAAUCUCUCUCUCUACUCACUAGGGCGUUGUGUGGAAUUUGGAGAGGAUUUGAUCUCUUUGGUGUGUCUAGAAUUGAAUGCUAGAGCUCUUGUAAGUAGUUGGGAAGUGGAAAACUUGGAUAACUUGAAUGUGAGGUGGUUGGGGGUAUUUAUAGCCCCAACCACCAAACUAGCCGUUUGGUGAGGCUGUCUGUUCGAUGGCGCACCGGACAGUCUGGUGCGAUAGCCACGUCACCAAAAGCUGUUGGGGUCGACCGUUGGAGCUCUGACUUCUGGGCCCGCCUGGAUGUCCGGUGGCGCACCGGACAUGCACUGUAGAUUGUCCGGUGCGCCAGCAUGGGCGUGCCUGACCUCUGCGCGCGCAGCGCGCGCAUUUAAUGCGUCGCAGGUAGCCGUUGGCGCCGAAAUAGCCGUUGCCCCGCCGUUACACCGGACAGUCCGGUGUACACCGGACAGUCCGGUGAAUUUUAGCGGAGCAGCUGAAGUGAAAACCCGAGGGCUGGCGAGUUCCGGAGGCCGCUCUUCCUUGGAGCACCGGACAUGUCCGGUGUACACCGGACAGUCCGGUGAAUUAUAGCGGAGUUGCCUCUGGAAAUUCCCGAAGGUGAGCAGUUCGGAGUUGGAGUCCUCUGGUGCACCGGACAUGUCCGGUGGCACACCGGACAGUCCGGUGCGCCAGACCAGAGAUGCCUUCGGUUGUCCCUUUGCUCUUUGGUUGAACCCAAUACUUGGUCUUUUUAUUGGCUAAGUGUGAACCUUUGGCACCUGUAUAACUUAUAUACUAGAGCAAACUAGUUAGUCCAAUUAUUUGUGUUGGGCAAUUCAACCACCAAAAUUAUUUAGGAACUAGGUGUAAGCCUAAUUCCCUUUCAAUCUCCCCCUUUUUGGUGAUUGAUGCCAACACAAACCAAAGCAAAUAUAGAAGUGCAUAAUUGAACUAGUUUGCAUAAUGUAAGUGCAAAGGUUGCUUGAAAUUGAGCCAAGAAAUGUUACUUACUAGAUGUGCAUGGAUUGUUUCUUUAUUUUUAACAUUUUGGACCACGCUUGCACCACAUGUUUUGUUUUUGCAAAUUAUUUUUGUAAAUCCUUUUCAAAGUCCUUUUGCAACAUAGUCAAAGGUAGAUGAAUAAGAUUUUUGCAAAGUUUUUUUUCAAGUUAAAAGGUUUUCUCCCCUUGAUUCAAAUGUUUUUCCUUUGACUAAACAAAACUCCCCCUAAAUAAGAUCCUCCUCUUAGUGUUCAAGAGGGAUUUGAUUUAUCAUUUUUGAAAUACUACUUCCUCCCCCUUUAGAACAUAAUAAGAUACCAAUUUGAAAUUGACCAAUUGAAAAUCUCCAAAUUUUAAAAAAUUAGGUGGUGGUGCGGUCCUUUUGCUUUGGGCUCAUAUUUUCUCCCCCUUUGGCAUGAAUCGCCAAAAACGGAAUCAUUAGAGCCCAACGAAGUACUUUCUCCUCCUUUGGUCAUAAAAUAAAUGAGUGAAGAUUAUACCAAAAUUGGAGAGAUGCACGGAGUGACGGCGAAGGGUGAGUAGUAGAGUGGAGUGGAAGCCUUUGUCUUCACCGAAGACUCCAAUUCCCUUUCAAUAUACCUAUGACUUGGUUUGAAAAUACACUUGAAAACACAUUAGUCAUAUAUAUAAAAGAGACAUGAUCAAAGGUAUACUUGUGUGCUAUGUGUGCAAAUUAGCAAAAGAAAUUCCUAGAAUCAAGAAUAUUGAGCUCAUGCCUAAGUCUGGUAAAAGAUUGUUCAUCAAGUGACUUGGUAAAGAUAUCGGCUAAUUGAUCUUCAGUGUUAAUGUAGGAAAUCUCGAUAUCCCCCUUUUGUUGAUGAUCCCUAAGGAAAUGAUACCGAAUGGCUAUGUGUUUAGUGCGGCUAUGCUCAACGGGAUUAUCCGCCAUGCGGAUUGCACUCUCAUUAUCACAUAGAAGAGGAACUUUGGUUAGUUUGUAACCGUAGUCCCGCAGGGUUUGCCUCAUCCAAAGCAAUUGCGCACAACAAUGGCCUGCGGCAAUAUACUCGGCUUCGACGGUAGAAAGAGCGACCAAAUUUUGCUUCUUUGAAGCCCAAGACACCAAGGAUCUUCCCAAGAACUGGCAAGUCCCCGAUGUGCUCUUUCUAUUAAUCUUACACCCCGCCCAAUCGGCAUCCGAAUAACCAAUCAAAUCAAAUGUGGAUCCCCGAGGGUACCAAAGCCCAAACUUAGGUGUGUAAGCCAAAUAUCUCAAGAUUCGUUUUAUGGCCGUAAGGUGGGAUUCCUUAGGGUCGGAUUGGAAUCUUGCACACAUGCAUACGGAAAGCAUAAUGUCUGGUCGAGAUGCACAUAAAUAAAGCAAUGAACCAAUCAUCGACCGGUAUACCUUUUGAUCCACGGACUUACCUCCCGUGUCGAGGUCGAGAUGCCCAUUUGUUCCCAUGGGUGUCUUGAUGGGCUUGGCAUCCUUCAUUCCAAACUUGCUUAGAAUGUCUUGAGUAUACUUUGUUUGGCUAAUGAAGGUGCCCUCUUGGAGUUGCUUGACUUGGAAUCCUAGAAAAUACUUCAACUCCCCCAUCAUCGACAUCUCGAAUUUCUUUGUCAUGAUCCUACUAAAUUCUUCACAUGUAGAUUCGUUAGUAGACCCAAAUAUGAUAUCAUCAACAUAAAUUUGGCAUACAAACAAAUCAUUGUCAAGAGUUUUAGUGAAUAAAGUAGGAUCGACCUUGCCGACUUUGAAGCCAUUUGCAAUAAGGAAAUCUCUAAGGCAUUCAUACCACGCUCUUGGGGCUUGCUUGAGCCCAUAAAGCGCCUUAGAGAGCCUAUAAACAUGGUUAGGGUACUCACUAUUUUCAAAGCCGGGAGGUUGCUCAACAUAGACCUCUUCCUUGAUUGGUCCAUUGAGGAAGGCACUCUUUACGUCCAUUUGAUGAAGCUUGAAGCCAUGGUAAGUAGCAUAGGCUAAUAAUAUGCGAAUGGACUCAAGCCUAGCUACGGAUGCAUAGGUUUCACCGAAAUCCAAACCUUCGACUUGGGAGUAUCCCUUGGCCACAAGUCGAGCUUUGUUCCUAGUCACCACACCAUGCUCGUCUUGCUUGUUGCGGAAGACCCACUUGGUUCCUACAAUAUUUUGAUUAGGACGUGGAACUAAAUGCCAUACCUCGUUCCUCGUGAAAUUGUUGAGCUCCUCUUGCAUCGCCAUCACCCAAUCCGAAUCUUGGAGCGCUUCCUCUACCCUGUGUGGCUCAAUAGAGGAAACAAAAGAGUAAUGCUCACAAAAAUGUGCAACACAAGACCGAGUAGUUACCCCCUUAUGAAUAUCGCCGAGGAUGGUGUCGACGGGGUGAUCUCGUUGUAUUGCUUGGUGGACUCUUGGGUGUGGCGGCCUUGGUUGUUCAUCCUCCUUGUCUUGAUCAUUUGCAUCUACCCCUUGAUCAUUGCCGUCAUCUUGAGGUGGCUCAUCUCUUUGAUCUUCUCCUUCAUCAACUUGAGCCUCGUCCUCAUUUUGGGUUGGUGGAGAUGCUUGCGUGGAGGAGGAUGGUUGAUCUUGUGCAUGUGGAGGCUCUUUGGAUUCCUUAGGACACACAUCCCCAAUGGACAUGUUCCUUAGCGCGAUGCACGGAGCCUGUUCUUCACCUAUCUCAUCAAGAUCAACUUGCUCUACUUGAGAGCCGUUAGUCUCAUCAAACACAACGUCACAAGAAACUUCAACAAGUCCUGAGGACUUGUUAAAGACCCUAUAUGCCCUUGUGUUUGAGUCAUAUCCUAGUAAAAAGCCUUCUACAGUUUUAGGAGCAAAUUUAGAUUUUCUACCUCUUUUGACAAGAAUAAAACAUUUGCUACCAAAGACUCUAAAAUAUGAAAUAUUGGGCUUUUUACCGGUUAGGAGUUCAUAGGAUGUCUUCUUGAGGAUUCGGUGAAGAUAUAACCGGUUGAUGGCGUAGCAGGCGGUGUUGACUGCCUCGGCCCAAAACCGAUCCGGUGUCUUGUACUCAUCAAGCAUGGUUCUUGCCAUGUCCAAUAGAGUUCGAUUCUUCCUCUCCACUACACCAUUUUGUUGUGGAGUGUAGGGAGAAGAGAACUCAUGCUUGAUGCCCUCCUCCUCAAGGAAGCCUUCUAUUUGUGAGUUCUUGAACUCCGUCCCGUUGUCGCUUCUAAUUUUCUUGAUCCUUAAGCCGAACUCAUUUUGAGCCCGUCUCAAGAAUCCCUUUAAGGUUUCUUGGGUAUGAGAUUUUUCCUGCAAAAAGAACACCCAAGUGAAGCGAGAAUAAUCAUCCACAAUAACUAGACAGUACUUACUCCCGCCGAUGCUUAUGUAAGCGAUCGGGCCAAAUAGGUCCAUGUGUAGGAGCUCCAGUGGCCUGUCACUAGCCAUGAUGUUCUUGUGUGGAUGAUGGGUGCCAACUUGCUUCCCAUCUUGGCAUGCGCUACAAAUCCUGUCUUUCUUAAAAUGAACAUUUGUUAGUCUUAAAAUGUGUUCUCCCUUUAGAAGCUUAUGAAGAUUCUUCAUUCCAACAUGGGCUAGUCGGCGGUGCCAGAGCCAACCCAAGUUAGUCUUAGCAAUUAAGCAAGUGUCGAGUUCAGCCUUAUCAAAAUCUACCAAGUAUAGCUGACCCUCUAACACUCCCUUAAAUGCUAUUGAAUCAUCACUUCUCCUAAAGACAGUGACACCUACAUCAGUAAAUAGACAAUUGUAGCCCAUUUGACAUAAUUGGGAUACGGAAAGCAAAUUGUAAUCUAAAGAAUUUACAAGAAAAACAUUUGAAAUAGUAUGGUCAGGUGAUAUAGCAAUUUUACCCAAUCCUUUGACCAAACCUUGAUUUCCAUCCCCGAAUGUGAUAGCUCGUUGGGGAUCUUGGUUUUUCUCAUAUGAGGAGAACAUCUUCUUCUCCCCUGUCAUGUGGUUUGUGCACCCGCUGUCGAGUAUCCAACUUGAGCCCCCGGAUGCAUAAACCUACAAAACAAUUUUAGUUCUUGACUUUAGGUACCCAAACGGUUUUGGGUCCUUUGGCAUUAGAAACAAGAACUUUGGGUACCCAAACACAAGUCUUGGAGCCCUUGUGUUUGCCCCCAACAAACUUGGCAACUACCUUGCCGGAUUUGUUAGUAAGCACAUAUGAUGCAUCAAAAGUUUUGAAUGAAAUAGCAUGAUCAUUUGAUGCACUAGGAGUUUUCUUUCUUGGCAACUUAGCACGGGUUGGUUGCCUAGAGCUAGAUGUCUCACCCUUAUACAUAAAAGCAUGAUUAGGGCCAGAGUGAGACUUCCUAGAAUGAGUUCUCCUAAUUUUGCUCUCGGGAUAACCGGCAGGGUACAAAAUGUAACCCUCGUUAUCCUGAGGCAUGGGAGCCUUGCCCUUCACAAAGUUAGACAAGUUUUUAGGAGGGGCAUUAAGUUUGACAUUGUCUCCCCUUUGGAAGCCAAUGCCAUCCUUGAUGCCAGGGCGUCUCCCAUUAUAGAGCAUACUUCUAGUAAAUUUAAACUUUUCAUUUUCUAAGUUAUGCUCGACAAUUUUAUCAUCUAAUAAUGCUAUAUGAUCAUUUUGUUGUUUAAUUAAAGUCAUGUGAUCAUGAAUAGCAUUGAUAUCAACAUCUCUACAUCUAGUACAAAUAGAAGUGUGCUCAACAAUAGAUGUAGAGGAUUUGCAAGAUUUUAAUUCUACAACCUUAGCAUGCAACAUAUCAUUCUUAGUUCUAAGGUCGGAAAUAAUAGUAUUGCAAACAUCAAAAUCUUUAGCCUUAGCAAUCAAAUUUUCAUUUUCUACUCUAAGGCUAGCAAGAGAAUCAUUCAAUUCCUUAAUCUUAGCAAGCAAAUCAUCAUUAUCAUUUCUAAGAUUGGGAAUUGAAGCAUCGCAAACAUGAAAAUCAACCUUAGCAAUUAAUCUAGUAUUUUCAUUUCUAAGGUUGUCUAUAGUCUCAUGGCAAGUGCUUAGCUCACUAGACAAUUUUUCGCAUUUUUCUACUUCUAGAGCAUAAGCAUUUUUAACCUUAACAUGUUUCUUAUUUUCUUUAAUAAGGAAGUCCUCUUGGGUGUCCAAGAGAUCAUCCUUUUCAUGAAUGGCACUAAUCAAUUCAUUAAGUUUCUCUUUUUGUUGCAUGUUGAGGUUGGCAAAAAGAGAUCGCAAGUUAUCUUCCUCAUCACUAAUAUUUUCAUCACUAGAGGAUUCAUAUCUAGUAGAGGAUUUAGAUUUAACCUUCUUCUUUUUGCCGUCCUUUGCCAUGAGGCACUUGUGGCCGACGUUGGGGAAGAGAAGUCCCUUGGUGACGGCGAUGUUGGCGGCGUCCUCGUCGUCGGAGGAGUCGCUAGAGCUUUCGUCGGAGUCCCACUCCCGACAAACAUGGGCAUCGCCGCCCUUCUUCUUGUAGUACCUCUUCUUCUCCUUUCUUCUCCCUUUCUUGUCGUCGCCCCUGUCACUAUCACUUGAUAAUGGACAUUUAGCUAUAAAGUGACCGGGCUUACCACACUUGUAGCAAACCUUCUUGGAGCGGGACUUGUAGUCUUUCCCCCUCCUUUGUUUGAGGAUUUGACGGAAGCUCUUGAUGACGAGCGCCAUUUCCUCAUUGUCGAGCUUGGAGGCGUCAAUUGGUUAUCGACUUGGUGUAGACUCCUCCUUCUUUUCCUCCGUCGCCUUGAAUGCGACGGGUUGAGCUUCGGAUGUGGAGGGAUCAUCAAGCUCGUUGAUCUUCCUCGAGCCUUCGAUCAUGCACUCAAAACUUACAAAAUUCCCGAUUAUUUCCUCGGGGGUCAUUAGUGUAUAUCUUGGGUUGCCACGAAUUAAUUGUACUUGAGUGGGGUUAAGAAAAAUAAGAGAUCUUAGAAUAACCUUAACCAUUUCGUGGUCAUCCCAUUUCUUGCUCCCGAGGUUGCGCACUUGAUUCACCAAGGUCUUGAGCCGGUUGUACAUGUUUUGUGGUUCUUCCCCUUUGCGAAGCUGGAACCGACCGAGCUCCCCCUCGAUUGUUUCCCGCUUGGUGAUCUUUGUGAGCUCAUCUCCUUCGUGUGCGGUUUUGAGCACAUCCCAAACCUCCUUGGCGCUCUUCAACCCUUGUACUUUGUUAUACUCCUCUCUACUUAGAGAGGCGAGGAGUAUUGUUGUUGCUUGAGAGUUGAAGUGCUCGAUUUGGGCCACUUCGUCCGUAUCGUAGUCUUCAUCCCCUACGGAUGGUACCUGUGCUCCAAACUCAACAACAUUCCAAAUACUUUUGUGGAGUGAGGUUAGAUGAAAUUUCAUUAAAUCACUCCACCUAGCAUAAUCUUCGCCAUCAAAAGUUGGCGGUUUGCCUAAUGGAACGGAAAGUAAUGGAGUAUGUCUAGAUGUACGAGAAUAGUGUAAGGGGAUCUUACUAAACUUCUUGCGCUCUUGGCGCUUAGAAGUUACGGACGGCGCAUCGGAGUCAGAGGUUGAUGUUGAUAAAGUGUCGGUCUCGUAGUAGACCACCUUCCUCAUCCUCUUAUGCUUGUCGCCUUUCCGAUGCGACUUGUGAGAAGAAGAUUUUUCCUUCUUCUCUUUGUGGUGUGAGGAAGAAGAUCUUUUCUCCUUCCGUUUGGAGGAGUCCUUCUUCUUCUCCUUCCUCUUGGUGCGGGACUCUUCCGAUGAAGUGCUCCCUUGGCUCGUAGUGGGCUUGUCGCCGGUCUCCAUCUCCCUCUUGGUGUGAUCUCCCGACAUCACUCCGAGCGGUUAGGCUCUAAUGAAGCACCGGGCUUUGAUACCAAUUGAAAGUCGCCUAGAGGGGGGGGUGAAUAGGGCGAAACUGAAAUUCUCAAAAAUAAUCACAACUACAAGCCGGGUUAGCGUUAGAAAUAUAAUCGAGUCCGCGAAAGAGGGUGCAAAACAAAUCACAAUCAAAUAAAGAGUGUGACACGCGGAUUUGUUUUACCGAGGUUUGGUUCUCGCAAACCUACUCCCCGUUGAGGAGGCCACAAAGGCCGGGUCUUUUUCAACCCUUUCCCUCUCUCAAACGAUCCCACGGAUCGAGUGAGCUUUCUCUUCUCAAUCACUUGGAACACAAAGUUCCCACAAGGACCACCACAAGAUUGGUGUUUCUUGCCUCAAUUACAAGUGAGUUUUGGUCGCAAGAAAGAAUCAAGAAAGAAGAAAGCAAUCCAAGCGCAAGAGCUCGAAAGAACACAAGCAAAUCUCUCUCUCUACUCACUAGGGCGUUGUGUGGAAUUUGGAGAGGAUUUGAUCUCUUUGGUGUGUCUAGAAUUGAAUGCUAGAGCUCUUGUAAGUAGUUGGGAAGUGGAAAACUUGGAUAACUUGAAUGUGAGGUGGUUGGGGGUAUUUAUAGCCCCAACCACCAAACUAGUCGUUUGGUGAGGCUGUCUGUUCGAUGGCGCACCGGACAGUCCGGUGCACACCGGACAUGUCCGGUGCGACAGCCACGUCACCAAAAGCUGUUGGGGUCGACCGUUGGAGCUCUGACUUCUGGGCCCGCCUGGAUGUCCGGUGGCGCACCGGACAUGCACUGUAGAUUGUCCGGUGCGCCAGCAUGGGCGUGCCUGACCUCUGCGCGCGCAGCGCGCGCAUUUAAUGCGUCGCAGGUAGCCGUUGGCGCCGAAAUAGCCGUUGCCCCGUUACACCGGACAGUCCGGUGUACACCGGACAGUCCGGUGAAUUUUAGCGGAGCAGCUGAAGUGAAAACCCGAGGGCUGGCGAGUUCCGGAGGCCGCUCUUCCUUGGAGCACCGGACAUGUCCGGUGUACACCGGACAGUCCGGUGAAUUAUAGCGGAGUUGUCUCUGGAAAUUCCCGAAGGUGAGCAGUUCGGAGUUGGAGUCCUCUGGUGCACCGGACAUGUCCGGUGGCCCACCGGACAGUCCGGUGCGCCAGACCAGAGGUGCCUUCGGUUGUCCCUUUGCUCUUUGGUUGAACCCAAUACUUGGUCUUUUUAUUGGCUAAGUGUGAACCUUUGGCACUUGUAUAACUUAUAUAAUAGAGCAAACUAGUUAGUCCAAUUAUUUGUGUUGGGCAAUUCAACCACCAAAAUUAUUUAGGAACUAGGUGUAAGCCUAAUUCCCUUUCAGUGGGCUCUGUGUAACUCCGGACUGUCCGGCGUAGGGUGCCGGACGGUCUGACGGAGGGCCGGACGGUCUGCAAUUGUGUGCGGACAGUCCGGCCGUGCUCAGAGUUGACUCACCAUUUAGCGAAGAUGGUGGUGACGCUCGUCCUGGAUAUGAGUCCAUCGGCAUUACCAGAAUAUGGCUGGGGAAACCCAUUUGUUGCCGAUGUAUUUGGCGCAAUUGUUUUGGCGCCUAAUUUAUGUGAUAAAAAAAUAGGCAUGUGAGUUUUUCCUAAUGCAUGUGCCAUCCUUUCUAUAUCCUCCAUGAUAUUUUUAAUCUGAUUAUCAAAAGAAAUUUUAAUAAAUGGAAUAUCAUCGGCUGACCUGGCAUCACCUAUUGUGGAGAGUUGUUGCAGCACGGCUGACAUGUACUCGACGUUUAUCUCCCUCUCUUGGACGACCUUCUGGUGGCAAUCUACCCUGAAGUGCGAGAGGAACCACUUAUCCGCCACCUUGAGCACCUGAUCUGCUUGUCGCUGGACCUCCUCGUCUAUUUUCUUCAUGUCAUCUUUUAAUCUUUCACGCUCAGCGGCCGAUAAAUUAGUCAGCCUUGUGUUGCUGUUUGGAGAAGCACUGUUGAGAUCUUUAGAAUCGGCCAUGUAAGCCUGAUUUUGUAGACCUGCAACCUCUUCCCCAGCGGAGUCGCCAAAAAGUAUGUUGGCACCUUUUUGGGGCGCCAAUCACUCAACAAGAACCCAGCGGCGGUGCUCUCUGGUCAGGCGCGGACGGUCCGCGGCACAGGGCCGGACGGUCCGCGACCUGACGCAGGGCUAGGGUUCCCUGCCUGAUGGCCGGACGGUCCGCGACCUGGUGACAGGGUCGUCUUCCUUCUCCUUGCUAGAAUCUAGAUCUCGUCCCCUGGGGGGAAAAGAUCUUAAGGUGCUCUGGGUCGACAGGUCACCCGGGGCGCCGAGACGACGUGGAGCCGCCUAGGAAUUAAGAGAUCAAUUCGAGGAAGAGGUCUUGGAUGGACAACUAGAUCUUGCCCCCCGGGAGGGGUGAGAUCCUAGGGUUGUCUUGGGAUCGGCAGACCACCCAAGACGGAUCUAGACGACGUAGAGUCGAAUAGGGAUGGAGGGUGGAUAUGUGGAAGACUACAACUAGAACUAUGCUACAUCUACUCCUAGGGCAGGAAAAGUAAAUAAGGUAAUUGGUUCGAUUGGAAUGUGUUCGGGGGUUCUCAAUCGGCCGUACCCCUUUAUAUUUAUAGGGGAGGAGGUAUGGACCUUUUCCUAAGAGAUAGCCAACAAACUCCCACGUGAUUAGAUGGAUAACCACGCACGAGAUAAGGAUAAACAUCCGAGUUAAUCUAAUCUCGGGACACGCGGACCGUCCGGGCCUAAGGGUCGGACCGUCCGCUCGUUUUGGUGUCCAACAUAUGCCCCCUGCCUUUUGGUGGAGCUUGGCAAACCAAAAGCAUCAGCGAAAACUUCGAAAACAAUUGACCUCAUGAGCUUUUGUUCCCAAAGUAAGGACUCAGCUCGAUGCAAGUCAUCGGCUCUUGCGAUCAGAUAAUAUAAAUACUUGAUGGAACUUUAAUGCACAGAGGCCGUUUUAGAUCACAUCCUCUUCGGCCAUGUCUACCUGAUCAACCUGUAAUAGGCAAAAACUUGUGUUGCCCCCCAGCCCAAAUAAGCAAACGGAUUGGGCCAGUAAUACGAAUUCAUCGCCGUACCACCCCACACAUGAGCAGGACAACACAUCGGCGAUGGAUAGAACGGGUCGCACCAUGCUAUCCCCGAAGGAGGAUGACAAGGCGAUCUUGGUUGAGCUACCCUUUGGGUCCGUUUAGUCGGCUUUUGCUUUCGCACAGGUCGCCCUUUUGACUUCGUUUGUUUUAUUGGCCAGUUGUGUGGAACGGCCUUCUUCAUAUAUUUGGCAAGCAACUGACCAAAAGUAGGGCCGACUCUACUGAGUCGUCCAGACGUCUUAGUAGUGUUUUGUUUCCUAACACUUGUGUUGGAACGUUGUGGUCCGAUGAUCUGAGGUUGCUGCUUCUGACCAUCUGCGAACCGUCCGGCCAUCAUAGCCGGACUGUCCGCGCCUGUCUCGGACUGUUCGGCCUUAGUACCUGGAUCAUCCGGCGUACGCAGGACAGGUGAUCGUGAUUGGGUGUCCGAUCGUGCUUGCCCCUCGGUGCCUCCGGUCUUUCUUUUGUCCGGAGCCUUCAGAGUAACCAUUCUACGUGACAUAUUUGGUGUGCGAGGAUCACCAAUGACGAUAUUUUUAUUUUUACUUUUAUCGGCCGCACAAGGCCGAAUUAUGGCAUUUUUGCUCGUUGGCUGUAAUGUGGUGACAGGAACAGGUGGCCUGUCACUUUUCACCUCUUUUUGAAACCUCAACCGGCCUUCGUUUAUAGCCGAUUGUAUUUGCCGGUGGAAGACGGCACAAUCAUUGGUGUUAUGGAGAAAGGAGCCAUGCCAUUUGCAAUAAACGCGCCCUUUUAAUUGUUCAACCGGAGGAAUUACAUGUGACAAUUUAAUAUUAUCAUGUUUAAGCAACUCAUCAAAUAUUUUAUCACAUUUAGUAAUAUUGAAUGUGAACUUAACUUUUUCCUUUUGUGUCGAGUGUGGGUGAGAGCGAACAGAAGGUUUGGCCUCAGUGGGCCAAACAAGCUCAGGGACAUGUGACUUUUUUGGUUCUUGGGGCUUGGGUGGCCGGUUAUAUUUAUGUCGGCCUUCCGCACUAGGCAGAUCACAGGUGACUUCUGGUGCUCCGGACGGUCCGACCUGCACAGUCGGACGGUCUGCGGGUGGAUCGGACGGUCUGGUACUAUCCUCGGACUGUCCGGUCACGUCAGGCAACACCUGUGACCCUUGUGGUGGGUGAAAGUCGCCUAGAGGGGGGUGAAUAGGGCGAAACUGAAAUUCUCAAAAAUAAUCACAACUACAAGCCGGGUUAGCGUUAGAAAUAUAAUCGAGUCCGCGAAAGAGGGUGCAAAACAAAUCACAAUCAAAUAAAGAGUGUGACACGCGGAUUUGUUUUACCGAGGUUCGGUUCUCGCAAACCUACUCCCCGUUGAGGAGGCCACAAAGGCCGGGUCUUUUUCAACCCUUUCCCUCUCUCAAACGAUCCCACGGAUCGAGUGAGCUUUCUCUUCUCAAUCACUUGGAACACAAAGUUCCCACAAGGACCACCACAAGAUUGGUGUCUCUUGCCUCAAUUACAAGUGAGUUUUGGUCGCAAGAAAGAAUCAAGAAAGAAGAAAGCAAUCCAAGCGCAAGAGCUCGAAAGAACACAAGCAAAUCUCUCUCUCUACUCACUAGGGCGUUGUGUGGAAUUUGGAGAGGAUUUGAUCUCUUUGGUGUGUCUAGAAUUGAAUGCUAGAGCUCUUGUAAGUAGUUGGGAAGUGGAAAACUUGGAUAACUUGAAUGUGAGGUGGUUGGGGGUAUUUAUAGCCCCAACCACCAAACUAGCCGUUUGGUGAGGCUGUCUGUUCGAUGGCGCACCGGACAGUCUGGUGCGAUAGCCACGUCACCAAAAGCUGUUGGGGUCGACCGUUGGAGCUCUGACUUCUGGGCCCGCCUGGAUGUCCGGUGGCGCACCGGACAUGCACUGUAGAUUGUCCGGUGCGCCAGCAUGGGCGUGCCUGACCUCUGCGCGCGCAGCGCGCGCAUUUAAUGCGUCGCAGGUAGCCGUUGGCGCCGAAAUAGCCGUUGCCCCGCCGUUACACCGGACAGUCCGGUGUACACCGGACAGUCCGGUGAAUUUUAGCGGAGCAGCUGAAGUGAAAACCCGAGGGCUGGCGAGUUCCGGAGGCCGCUCUUCCUUGGAGCACCGGACAUGUCCGGUGUACACCGGACAGUCCGGUGAAUUAUAGCGGAGUUGCCUCUGGAAAUUCCCGAAGGUGAGCAGUUCGGAGUUGGAGUCCUCUGGUGCACCGGACAUGUCCGGUGGCACACCGGACAGUCCGGUGCGCCAGACCAGAGAUGCCUUCGGUUGUCCCUUUGCUCUUUGGUUGAACCCAAUACUUGGUCUUUUUAUUGGCUAAGUGUGAACCUUUGGCACCUGUAUAACUUAUAUACUAGAGCAAACUAGUUAGUCCAAUUAUUUGUGUUGGGCAAUUCAACCACCAAAAUUAUUUAGGAACUAGGUGUAAGCCUAAUUCCCUUUCAAUCUCCCCCUUUUUGGUGAUUGAUGCCAACACAAACCAAAGCAAAUAUAGAAGUGCAUAAUUGAACUAGUUUGCAUAAUGUAAGUGCAAAGGUUGCUUGAAAUUGAGCCAAGAAAUGUUACUUACUAGAUGUGCAUGGAUUGUUUCUUUAUUUUUAACAUUUUGGACCACGCUUGCACCACAUGUUUUGUUUUUGCAAAUUAUUUUUGUAAAUCCUUUUCAAAGUCCUUUUGCAACAUAGUCAAAGGUAGAUGAAUAAGAUUUUUGCAAAGUUUUUUUUCAAGUUAAAAGGUUUUCUCCCCUUGAUUCAAAUGUUUUUCCUUUGACUAAACAAAACUCCCCCUAAAUAAGAUCCUCCUCUUAGUGUUCAAGAGGGAUUUGAUUUAUCAUUUUUGAAAUACUACUUCCUCCCCCUUUAGAACAUAAUAAGAUACCAAUUUGAAAUUGACCAAUUGAAAAUCUCCAAAUUUUAAAAAAUUAGGUGGUGGUGCGGUCCUUUUGCUUUGGGCUCAUAUUUUCUCCCCCUUUGGCAUGAAUCGCCAAAAACGGAAUCAUUAGAGCCCAACGAAGUACUUUCUCCUCCUUUGGUCAUAAAAUAAAUGAGUGAAGAUUAUACCAAAAUUGGAGAGAUGCACGGAGUGACGGCGAAGGGUGAGUAGUAGAGUGGAGUGGAAGCCUUUGUCUUCACCGAAGACUCCAAUUCCCUUUCAAUAUACCUAUGACUUGGUUUGAAAAUACACUUGAAAACACAUUAGUCAUAUAUAUAAAAGAGACAUGAUCAAAGGUAUACUUGUGUGCUAUGUGUGCAAAUUAGCAAAAGAAAUUCCUAGAAUCAAGAAUAUUGAGCUCAUGCCUAAGUCUGGUAAAAGAUUGUUCAUCAAGUGACUUGGUAAAGAUAUCGGCUAAUUGAUCUUCAGUGUUAAUGUAGGAAAUCUCGAUAUCCCCCUUUUGUUGAUGAUCCCUAAGGAAAUGAUACCGAAUGGCUAUGUGUUUAGUGCGGCUAUGCUCAACGGGAUUAUCCGCCAUGCGGAUUGCACUCUCAUUAUCACAUAGAAGAGGAACUUUGGUUAGUUUGUAACCGUAGUCCCGCAGGGUUUGCCUCAUCCAAAGCAAUUGCGCACAACAAUGGCCUGCGGCAAUAUACUCGGCUUCGACGGUAGAAAGAGCGACCAAAUUUUGCUUCUUUGAAGCCCAAGACACCAAGGAUCUUCCCAAGAACUGGCAAGUCCCCGAUGUGCUCUUUCUAUUAAUCUUACACCCCGCCCAAUCGGCAUCCGAAUAACCAAUCAAAUCAAAUGUGGAUCCCCGAGGGUACCAAAGCCCAAACUUAGGUGUGUAAGCCAAAUAUCUCAAGAUUCGUUUUAUGGCCGUAAGGUGGGAUUCCUUAGGGUCGGAUUGGAAUCUUGCACACAUGCAUACGGAAAGCAUAAUGUCUGGUCGAGAUGCACAUAAAUAAAGCAAUGAACCAAUCAUCGACCGGUAUACCUUUUGAUCCACGGACUUACCUCCCGUGUCGAGGUCGAGAUGCCCAUUUGUUCCCAUGGGUGUCUUGAUGGGCUUGGCAUCCUUCAUUCCAAACUUGCUUAGAAUGUCUUGAGUAUACUUUGUUUGGCUAAUGAAGGUGCCCUCUUGGAGUUGCUUGACUUGGAAUCCUAGAAAAUACUUCAACUCCCCCAUCAUCGACAUCUCGAAUUUCUUUGUCAUGAUCCUACUAAAUUCUUCACAUGUAGAUUCGUUAGUAGACCCAAAUAUGAUAUCAUCAACAUAAAUUUGGCAUACAAACAAAUCAUUGUCAAGAGUUUUAGUGAAUAAAGUAGGAUCGACCUUGCCGACUUUGAAGCCAUUUGCAAUAAGGAAAUCUCUAAGGCAUUCAUACCACGCUCUUGGGGCUUGCUUGAGCCCAUAAAGCGCCUUAGAGAGCCUAUAAACAUGGUUAGGGUACUCACUAUUUUCAAAGCCGGGAGGUUGCUCAACAUAGACCUCUUCCUUGAUUGGUCCAUUGAGGAAGGCACUCUUUACGUCCAUUUGAUGAAGCUUGAAGCCAUGGUAAGUAGCAUAGGCUAAUAAUAUGCGAAUGGACUCAAGCCUAGCUACGGAUGCAUAGGUUUCACCGAAAUCCAAACCUUCGACUUGGGAGUAUCCCUUGGCCACAAGUCGAGCUUUGUUCCUAGUCACCACACCAUGCUCGUCUUGCUUGUUGCGGAAGACCCACUUGGUUCCUACAAUAUUUUGAUUAGGACGUGGAACUAAAUGCCAUACCUCGUUCCUCGUGAAAUUGUUGAGCUCCUCUUGCAUCGCCAUCACCCAAUCCGAAUCUUGGAGCGCUUCCUCUACCCUGUGUGGCUCAAUAGAGGAAACAAAAGAGUAAUGCUCACAAAAAUGUGCAACACAAGACCGAGUAGUUACCCCCUUAUGAAUAUCGCCGAGGAUGGUGUCGACGGGGUGAUCUCGUUGUAUUGCUUGGUGGACUCUUGGGUGUGGCGGCCUUGGUUGUUCAUCCUCCUUGUCUUGAUCAUUUGCAUCUACCCCUUGAUCAUUGCCGUCAUCUUGAGGUGGCUCAUCUCUUUGAUCUUCUCCUUCAUCAACUUGAGCCUCGUCCUCAUUUUGGGUUGGUGGAGAUGCUUGCGUGGAGGAGGAUGGUUGAUCUUGUGCAUGUGGAGGCUCUUUGGAUUCCUUAGGACACACAUCCCCAAUGGACAUGUUCCUUAGCGCGAUGCACGGAGCCUGUUCUUCACCUAUCUCAUCAAGAUCAACUUGCUCUACUUGAGAGCCGUUAGUCUCAUCAAACACAACGUCACAAGAAACUUCAACAAGUCCUGAGGACUUGUUAAAGACCCUAUAUGCCCUUGUGUUUGAGUCAUAUCCUAGUAAAAAGCCUUCUACAGUUUUAGGAGCAAAUUUAGAUUUUCUACCUCUUUUGACAAGAAUAAAACAUUUGCUACCAAAGACUCUAAAAUAUGAAAUAUUGGGCUUUUUACCGGUUAGGAGUUCAUAGGAUGUCUUCUUGAGGAUUCGGUGAAGAUAUAACCGGUUGAUGGCGUAGCAGGCGGUGUUGACUGCCUCGGCCCAAAACCGAUCCGGUGUCUUGUACUCAUCAAGCAUGGUUCUUGCCAUGUCCAAUAGAGUUCGAUUCUUCCUCUCCACUACACCAUUUUGUUGUGGAGUGUAGGGAGAAGAGAACUCAUGCUUGAUGCCCUCCUCCUCAAGGAAGCCUUCUAUUUGUGAGUUCUUGAACUCCGUCCCGUUGUCGCUUCUAAUUUUCUUGAUCCUUAAGCCGAACUCAUUUUGAGCCCGUCUCAAGAAUCCCUUUAAGGUUUCUUGGGUAUGAGAUUUUUCCUGCAAAAAGAACACCCAAGUGAAGCGAGAAUAAUCAUCCACAAUAACUAGACAGUACUUACUCCCGCCGAUGCUUAUGUAAGCGAUCGGGCCAAAUAGGUCCAUGUGUAGGAGCUCCAGUGGCCUGUCACUAGCCAUGAUGUUCUUGUGUGGAUGAUGGGUGCCAACUUGCUUCCCAUCUUGGCAUGCGCUACAAAUCCUGUCUUUCUUAAAAUGAACAUUUGUUAGUCUUAAAAUGUGUUCUCCCUUUAGAAGCUUAUGAAGAUUCUUCAUUCCAACAUGGGCUAGUCGGCGGUGCCAGAGCCAACCCAAGUUAGUCUUAGCAAUUAAGCAAGUGUCGAGUUCAGCCUUAUCAAAAUCUACCAAGUAUAGCUGACCCUCUAACACUCCCUUAAAUGCUAUUGAAUCAUCACUUCUCCUAAAGACAGUGACACCUACAUCAGUAAAUAGACAAUUGUAGCCCAUUUGACAUAAUUGGGAUACGGAAAGCAAAUUGUAAUCUAAAGAAUUUACAAGAAAAACAUUUGAAAUAGUAUGGUCAGGUGAUAUAGCAAUUUUACCCAAUCCUUUGACCAAACCUUGAUUUCCAUCCCCGAAUGUGAUAGCUCGUUGGGGAUCUUGGUUUUUCUCAUAUGAGGAGAACAUCUUCUUCUCCCCUGUCAUGUGGUUUGUGCACCCGCUGUCGAGUAUCCAACUUGAGCCCCCGGAUGCAUAAACCUACAAAACAAUUUUAGUUCUUGACUUUAGGUACCCAAACGGUUUUGGGUCCUUUGGCAUUAGAAACAAGAACUUUGGGUACCCAAACACAAGUCUUGGAGCCCUUGUGUUUGCCCCCAACAAACUUGGCAACUACCUUGCCGGAUUUGUUAGUAAGCACAUAUGAUGCAUCAAAAGUUUUGAAUGAAAUAGCAUGAUCAUUUGAUGCACUAGGAGUUUUCUUUCUUGGCAACUUAGCACGGGUUGGUUGCCUAGAGCUAGAUGUCUCACCCUUAUACAUAAAAGCAUGAUUAGGGCCAGAGUGAGACUUCCUAGAAUGAGUUCUCCUAAUUUUGCUCUCGGGAUAACCGGCAGGGUACAAAAUGUAACCCUCGUUAUCCUGAGGCAUGGGAGCCUUGCCCUUCACAAAGUUAGACAAGUUUUUAGGAGGGGCAUUAAGUUUGACAUUGUCUCCCCUUUGGAAGCCAAUGCCAUCCUUGAUGCCAGGGCGUCUCCCAUUAUAGAGCAUACUUCUAGCAAAUUUAAACUUUUCAUUUUCUAAGUUAUGCUCGGCAAUUUUAUCAUCUAAUAAUGCUAUAUGAUCAUUUUGUUGUUUAAUUAAAGUCAUGUGAUCAUGAAUAGCAUUGAUAUCAACAUCUCUACAUCUAGUACAAAUAGAAGUGUGCUCAACAAUAGAUGUAGAGGAUUUGCAAGAUUUUAAUUCUACAACCUUAGCAUGCAACAUAUCAUUCUUAGUUCUAAGGUCGGAAAUAAUAGUAUUGCAAACAUCAAAAUCUUUAGCCUUAGCAAUCAAAUUUUCAUUUUCUACUCUAAGGCUAGCAAGAGAAUCAUUCAAUUCCUUAAUCUUAGCAAGCAAAUCAUCAUUAUCAUUUCUAAGAUUGGGAAUUGAAGCAUCGCAAACAUGAAAAUCAACCUUAGCAAUUAAUCUAGUAUUUUCAUUUCUAAGGUUGUCUAUAGUCUCAUGGCAAGUGCUUAGCUCACUAGACAAUUUUUCGCAUUUUUCUACUUCUAGAGCAUAAGCAUUUUUAACCUUAACAUGUUUCUUAUUUUCUUUAAUAAGGAAGUCCUCUUGGGUGUCCAAGAGAUCAUCCUUUUCAUGAAUGGCACUAAUCAAUUCAUUAAGUUUCUCUUUUUGUUGCAUGUUGAGGUUGGCAAAAAGAGAUCGCAAGUUAUCUUCCUCAUCACUAAUAUUUUCAUCACUAGAGGAUUCAUAUCUAGUAGAGGAUUUAGAUUUAACCUUCUUCUUUUUGCCGUCCUUUGCCAUGAGGCACUUGUGGCCGACGUUGGGGAAGAGAAGUCCCUUGGUGACGGCGAUGUUGGCGGCGUCCUCGUCGUCGGAGGAGUCGCUAGAGCUUUCGUCGGAGUCCCACUCCCGACAAACAUGGGCAUCGCCGCCCUUCUUCUUGUAGUACCUCUUCUUCUCCUUUCUUCUCCCUUUCUUGUCGUCGCCCCUGUCACUAUCACUUGAUAAUGGACAUUUAGCUAUAAAGUGACCGGGCUUACCACACUUGUAGCAAACCUUCUUGGAGCGGGACUUGUAGUCUUUCCCCCUCCUUUGUUUGAGGAUUUGACGGAAGCUCUUGAUGACGAGCGCCAUUUCCUCAUUGUCGAGCUUGGAGGCGUCAAUUGGUUAUCGACUUGGUGUAGACUCCUCCUUCUUUUCCUCCGUCGCCUUGAAUGCGACGGGUUGAGCUUCGGAUGUGGAGGGAUCAUCAAGCUCGUUGAUCUUCCUCGAGCCUUCGAUCAUGCACUCAAAACUUACAAAAUUCCCGAUUAUUUCCUCGGGGGUCAUUAGUGUAUAUCUUGGGUUGCCACGAAUUAAUUGUACUUGAGUGGGGUUAAGAAAAAUAAGAGAUCUUAGAAUAACCUUAACCAUUUCGUGGUCAUCCCAUUUCUUGCUCCCGAGGUUGCGCACUUGAUUCACCAAGGUCUUGAGCCGGUUGUACAUGUUUUGUGGUUCUUCCCCUUUGCGAAGCUGGAACCGACCGAGCUCCCCCUCGAUUGUUUCCCGCUUGGUGAUCUUUGUGAGCUCAUCUCCUUCGUGUGCGGUUUUGAGCACAUCCCAAACCUCCUUGGCGCUCUUCAACCCUUGUACUUUGUUAUACUCCUCUCUACUUAGAGAGGCGAGGAGUAUUGUUGUUGCUUGAGAGUUGAAGUGCUCGAUUUGGGCCACUUCGUCCGUAUCGUAGUCUUCAUCCCCUACGGAUGGUACCUGUGCUCCAAACUCAACAACAUUCCAAAUACUUUUGUGGAGUGAGGUUAGAUGAAAUUUCAUUAAAUCACUCCACCUAGCAUAAUCUUCGCCAUCAAAAGUUGGCGGUUUGCCUAAUGGAACGGAAAGUAAUGGAGUAUGUCUAGAUGUACGAGAAUAGUGUAAGGGGAUCUUACUAAACUUCUUGCGCUCUUGGCGCUUAGAAGUUACGGACGGCGCAUCGGAGUCAGAGGUUGAUGUUGAUAAAGUGUCGGUCUCGUAGUAGACCACCUUCCUCAUCCUCUUAUGCUUGUCGCCUUUCCGAUGCGACUUGUGAGAAGAAGAUUUUUCCUUCUUCUCUUUGUGGUGUGAGGAAGAAGAUCUUUUCUCCUUCCGUUUGGAGGAGUCCUUCUUCUUCUCCUUCCUCUUGGUGCGGGACUCUUCCGAUGAAGUGCUCCCUUGGCUCGUAGUGGGCUUGUCGCCGGUCUCCAUCUCCCUCUUGGUGUGAUCUCCCGACAUCACUCCGAGCGGUUAGGCUCUAAUGAAGCACCGGGCUUUGAUACCAAUUGAAAGUCGCCUAGAGGGGGGGGUGAAUAGGGCGAAACUGAAAUUCUCAAAAAUAAUCACAACUACAAGCCGGGUUAGCGUUAGAAAUAUAAUCGAGUCCGCGAAAGAGGGUGCAAAACAAAUCACAAUCAAAUAAAGAGUGUGACACGCGGAUUUGUUUUACCGAGGUUUGGUUCUCGCAAACCUACUCCCCGUUGAGGAGGCCACAAAGGCCGGGUCUUUUUCAACCCUUUCCCUCUCUCAAACGAUCCCACGGAUCGAGUGAGCUUUCUCUUCUCAAUCACUUGGAACACAAAGUUCCCACAAGGACCACCACAAGAUUGGUGUUUCUUGCCUCAAUUACAAGUGAGUUUUGGUCGCAAGAAAGAAUCAAGAAAGAAGAAAGCAAUCCAAGCGCAAGAGCUCGAAAGAACACAAGCAAAUCUCUCUCUCUACUCACUAGGGCGUUGUGUGGAAUUUGGAGAGGAUUUGAUCUCUUUGGUGUGUCUAGAAUUGAAUGCUAGAGCUCUUGUAAGUAGUUGGGAAGUGGAAAACUUGGAUAACUUGAAUGUGAGGUGGUUGGGGGUAUUUAUAGCCCCAACCACCAAACUAGUCGUUUGGUGAGGCUGUCUGUUCGAUGGCGCACCGGACAGUCCGGUGCACACCGGACAUGUCCGGUGCGACAGCCACGUCACCAAAAGCUGUUGGGGUCGACCGUUGGAGCUCUGACUUCUGGGCCCGCCUGGAUGUUCGGUGGCGCACCGGACAUGCACUGUAGAUUGUCCGGUGCGCCAGCAUGGGCGUGCCUGACCUCUGCGCGCGCAGCGCGCGCAUUUAAUGCGUCGCAGGUAGCCGUUGGCGCCGAAAUAGCCGUUGCCCCGUUACACCGGACAGUCCGGUGUACACCGGACAGUCCGGUGAAUUUUAGCGGAGCAGCUGAAGUGAAAACCCGAGGGCUGGCGAGUUCCGGAGGCCGCUCUUCCUUGGAGCACCGGACAUGUCCGGUGUACACCGGACAGUCCGGUGAAUUAUAGCGGAGUUGUCUCUGGAAAUUCCCGAAGGUGAGCAGUUCGGAGUUGGAGUCCUCUGGUGCACCGGACAUGUCCGGUGGCCCACCGGACAGUCCGGUGCGCCAGACCAGAGGUGCCUUCGGUUGUCCCUUUGCUCUUUGGUUGAACCCAAUACUUGGUCUUUUUAUUGGCUAAGUGUGAACCUUUGGCACUUGUAUAACUUAUAUAAUAGAGCAAACUAGUUAGUCCAAUUAUUUGUGUUGGGCAAUUCAACCACCAAAAUUAUUUAGGAACUAGGUGUAAGCCUAAUUCCCUUUCAGUGGGCUCUGUGUAACUCCGGACUGUCCGGCGUAGGGUGCCGGACGGUCUGACGGAGGGCCGGACGGUCCGCAAUUGUGUGCGGACAGUCCGGCCGUGCUCAGAGUUGACUCACCAUUUAGCGAAGAUGGUGGUGACGCUCGUCCUAGAUAUGAGUCCAUCGGCAUACCAGAAUAUGGCUGGGGAAACCCAUUUGUUGCCGAUGUAUUUGGCGCAAUUGUUUUGGCGCCUAAUUUAUGUGAUAAAAAAAUAGGCAUGUGAGUUUUUCCUAAUGCAUGUGCCAUCCUUUCUAUAUCCUCCAUGAUAUUUUUAAUCUGAUUAUCAAAAGAAAUUUUAAUAAAUGGAAUAUCAUCGGCUGACCUGGCAUCACCUAUUGUGGAGAGCUGUUGCAGCACGGCUGACAUGUACUCGACGUUUAUCUCCCUCUCUUGGACGACCUUCUGGUGGCAAUCUACCCUGAAGUGCGAGAGGAACCACUUAUCCGCCACCUUGAGCACCUGAUCUGCUUGUCGCUGGACCUCCUCGUCUAUUUUCUUCAUGUCAUCUUUUAAUCUUUCACGCUCAGCGGCCGAUAAAUUAGUCAGCCUUGUGUUGCUGUUUGGAGAAGCACUGUUGAGAUCUUUAGAAUCGGCCAUGUAAGCCUGAUUUUGUAGACCUGCAACCUCUUCCCCAGCGGAGUCGCCAAAAAGUAUGUUGGCACCUUUUUGGGGCGCCAAUCACUCAACAAGAACCCAGCGGCGGUGCUCUCUGGUCAGGCGCGGACGGUCCGCGGCACAGGGCCGGACGGUUCGCGACCUGGCGCAGGGCUAGGGUUCCCUGCCUGAUGGCCGGACGGUCCGCGACCUGGUGACAGGGUCGUCUUCCUUCUCCUUGCUAGAAUCUAGAUCUCGUCCCCUGGGGGGAAAAGAUCUUAAGGUGCUCUGGGUCGACAGGUCACCCGGGGCGCCGAGACGACGUGGAGCCGCCUAGGAAUUAAGAGAUCAAUUCGAGGAAGAGGUUUUGGAUGGACAACUAGAUCUUGCCCCCCGGGAGGGGUGAGAUCCUAGGGUUGUCUUGGGAUCGGCAGGUCACCCAAGACGGAUCUAGACGACGUAGAGUCGAAUAGGGAUGGAGGGUGGAUAUGUGGAAGACUACAACUAGAACUAUGCUACAUCUACUCAUAGGGCAGGAAAAGUAAAUAAGGUAAUUGGUUCGAUUGGAAUGUGUUCGGGGGUUCUCAAUCGGUUGUACCCCUUUAUAUUUAUAGGGGAGGAGGUCUGGACCUUUUCCUAAGAGAUAGCCAACAAACUCCCGCGUGAUUAGAUGGAUAACCACGCACGAGAUAAGGAUAAACAUCCGAGUUAAUCUAAUCUCGGGACACGCGGACAGUCCGGGCCUAAGGGUCGGACCGUCCGCUCAUUUUGGUGUCCAACACAUGGAUUCAAAGCUUAUUUGGUGCUGAGGUUCUGGUUGUUCUUGUUCUUGGAGAACACAUCUCAGCCAGCGUCGCAUCAACGACAGACUAGCACAUCCUGAGAUUAUUAGGAUGAAUACAUAUAUACAUACAUACAUACAUACAUACAUACAUACAUACAUACAUACAUACAUAGGUGCACUCACCUUUAAGACACAACAACAAGACACAACAACAGGAGAAAUGUGUGUAAUGUUUCUGUACUUGCCGCGGAC
RNAcentral lists this long non-coding RNA (25610 nucleotides) under Zea mays. RNAcentral's name for it is "long non-coding RNA (ZMAY_LNC005113)". Lineage: Eukaryota; Viridiplantae; Streptophyta; Magnoliopsida; Poales; Poaceae. The record is from RNAcentral.